This 118-nucleotide ribosomal RNA is filed under the name Lepisosteus oculatus (spotted gar). The record is from RNAcentral. Lineage: Eukaryota; Metazoa; Chordata; Actinopteri; Semionotiformes; Lepisosteidae.
GCCAGCAGCCAUAUCACCCUGCAACUCACAACUGGCAACCCAAUGAAGCUCAGCAGGUGUGAGCCUGGUCAGUACCUGGAUGGGAGACCUCCUGGGAAAGCUAUGAUUGCUGCUGGAA